ACUUCAAACGGUGAGUGGAACAGGUUUGAGCAGCAGGUGGGAGAAAAGAAAUACACUUGAUGUGUCCUUUUCCUACCCCAUGCUCCUGGCAGUCCACAGAAUCAGGGGGAAAGCCAGGAUUUGGCAAAAUGAAAUGGAGACAUUGUAGAACCUAACCCAUCUACUGUCCUUAUUGCCAGAGUCUCAUUGUCACCCCCUAGAAUUUAUGGAAAUUGGCCCCUCUUUUACAAAGAUGGAGAUAAUUGGGUGAUUGGGGAGAACCUGGUGGAAUCGGUACCCUUGGGUGCUAAUCCCAGCUCUUCCUCUCUUUGGGAGAGGGCUUAUCCUCUGGACCCCGUUUUCUCCACUUACAAAAUGGGGAGACUCCUCAGCAUUUUCUGAAAUGCAGACACAUAUGAGGUCAAAGGUGGAUGCGUGUUUUGACUUCUCAGAAGAAAGCACUAUGGAAAUCCAAGAUCAUCCAUGGAGUCAACGAGAAAAUCUCAGUCCAAGCCUAUGAGACCCAAGUGAAAUUCAUCUUUGAGUUGAUUCAGAAUGCUGACACAGACCAGGAGCCAGUUUCUCACCUGCACAAACUGUGAGGUCAAGGGGCCUGCUGGGUUAGGCAUGCCCGACCCCGGGACAGGACUAACCCAAGGGGGAAAGCUAGUGUUGAUGAAACUUUUGAUCAAAACCACAUUGUAAAACAUUGCCCAUCUGUCUUGCUCACUCUUAAACUCUCCCAAGAACAAGGCCGGGGUAAGGUAAAGUCAGCAGAAAUCUGGCUUCUCCCUUCCUCCCGACAUCUGCAUCCCUUGAUCCACUGGCAUUUGCUGCCCUCUUGUCCCUUAUCUGUCUUAUGCUGGUUAUUUCACUGCUUCACCUUCCA
This 868-nucleotide long non-coding RNA is filed under the name Homo sapiens (human). RNAcentral's name for it is "non-protein coding lnc-SLC41A1-2:2". Lineage: Eukaryota; Metazoa; Chordata; Mammalia; Primates; Hominidae. The record is from RNAcentral.